GACGAACGCUGGCGGCGUGCUUAACACAUGCAAGUCGAGCGGUAAGGCCCCUUCGGGGGUACACGAGCGGCGAACGGGUGAGUAACACGUGAGCAAUCUGCCCAUCACAUCGGGAUAACUCCGGGAAACCGAAGCUAAUACCGAAUACGACCACCUCCGGCAUCGGAUGGUGGUGGAAAGUUCCGGCGGUGAUGGAUGAGCUCGCGGCCUAUCAGCUUGUUGGUGGGGUAACGGCCCACCAAGGCUUCGACGGGUAGCCGGCCUGAGAGGGUGACCGGCCACACUGGGACUGAGACACGGACCAGACUCCUACGGGAGGCAGCAGUGGGGAAUAUUGGACAAUGGGCGAAAGCCUGAUCCAGCAACGCCGCGUGAGGGAUGACGGCCUUCGGGUUGUAAACCUCUUUCAGCAGGGACGAAGCGCAAGUGACGGUACCUGCAGAAGAAGCACCGGCCAACUACGUG
RNAcentral lists this ribosomal RNA (465 nucleotides) under uncultured bacterium. RNAcentral's name for it is "partial 16S ribosomal RNA". It matches the Rfam family "Bacterial small subunit ribosomal RNA", at positions 28 to 507 of the family's 1533-position model. The record is from RNAcentral.